Long non-coding RNA from Esox lucius (northern pike), 125 nucleotides. RefSeq lists it as uncharacterized. The record is from RefSeq and is a predicted model, not a curated record. The transcript is spliced from 3 exons. NCBI's taxonomy places the organism in Eukaryota, Metazoa, Chordata, Actinopteri, Esociformes, Esocidae.
CUACAUCUCUAAAGGUGAUACAGCAGGCUAAUGGCCAGUUAAUAUAAGUAAUUGACAACUACAUUAGAUCAUUGGCUGAAUUGUUAAGUAAUCACCAAGUGGUGAUAAUCACCUCCAUUAACAAA